AUUGAACGCUGGCGGCAGGCCUAACACAUGCAAGUCGAGCGGAUGAAGGGAGCUUGCUCCUGGAUUCAGCGGCGGACGGGUGAGUAAUGCCUAGGAAUCUGCCUGGUAGUGGGGGAUAACGUCCGGAAACGGGCGCUAAUACCGCAUACGUCCUGAGGGAGAAAGUGGGGGAUCUUCGGACCUCACGCUAUCAGAUGAGCCUAGGUCGGAUUAGCUAGUUGGUGGGGUAAAGGCCUACCAAGGCGACGAUCCGUAACUGGUCUGAGAGGAUGAUCAGUCACACUGGAACUGGAACGCGGUCCAGACUCCUAAGGGAGGCAGCAGUGGGGAAUAUUGGACAAUGGGCGAAAGCCUGAUCCAGCCAUGCCGCGUGUGUGAAGAAGGUCUUCGGAUUGUAAAGCACUUUAAGUUGGGAGGAAGGGCAGUAAGUUAAUACCUUGCUGUUUUGACGUUACCAACAGAAUAAGCACCGGCUAACUUCGUG
Molecule: ribosomal RNA, 484 nt
Filed under: uncultured bacterium
Lineage: Bacteria
Description: partial 16S ribosomal RNA
Rfam family: Bacterial small subunit ribosomal RNA
Source: RNAcentral